This 229-nucleotide ribosomal RNA is filed under the name uncultured bacterium. Its description in RNAcentral is "partial 16S ribosomal RNA". It matches the Rfam family "Bacterial small subunit ribosomal RNA", at positions 568 to 796 of the family's 1533-position model. The record is from RNAcentral.
UGCGUAGGCGGAUUAAUAAGUCAGUGGUGAAAUCUUUCGGCUCAACCGAGAAACUGCCAUUGAUACUGUUAAUCUUGAGUUCGGUUGAGGUAGGCGGAAUGUGUAAUGUAGCGGUGAAAUGCUUAGAUAUUACACAGAACACCAAUUGCGUAGGCAGCUUACUAGCCCGACACUGACGCUGAGGCACGAAAGCGUGGGGAGCGAACAGGAUUAGAUACCCUGGUAGUCC